Nothoprocta perdicaria is the source of this 825-nucleotide long non-coding RNA. RefSeq lists it as uncharacterized. The transcript has 2 exons. NCBI's taxonomy places the organism in Eukaryota, Metazoa, Chordata, Aves, Tinamiformes, Tinamidae. The record is from RefSeq and is a predicted model, not a curated record.
ACAAGAGCACAGAUGGCAUGUGGGAGAUUCCCAGGGAACAUCCAUCACUUGAUAUGACAUUGGAACCUUCUCUGCCUGGUGCUGGGACCUUCAUGUUCAUCUUUCAUGAAGCACAACUUAUGUACAAGGGAAUGUGUUUCUUGCAGGUGGUUUCUUCGUCUGUCUGUACAAGCUUACGCUGUGUUUGCAUUACUGAAGACCGAUUUGUCCUUCUUGUGAGCAAAAUCAGUCGUGUGUCAACCUAACAGUCAUAACUAGAUCAGUACCAGACUGAAGUAUUUUCCUCCUGGGUGGAUUUUCUACAGAAUUUGAGAUUCACUUCUGGGAAUGAACGCAUCUUUUCCAUAUAUAGCCUGGAUACAGAAAAGUUGUCUUGGCCAGAAUUUUUCAGAAUUUGAGCUCUUCGGUCUUUUGCUUUAUGGAAAGUCUUCAUCCUAGCAGAGGAUCUUGGUGGCAAGAUAUAAGCCUUAUUCGAUCGUGUAGGCCUCAAGGAAAUGAAGUACAAUAAUGUUGAUUUUCCUGUUUUUUUCAAUGUCUUUUCUGCUCUCCUAAGAAAGACUGUAAUAACCAUUAGACUUCAGCAUCACCAGAGUGCAAACUUCUCAGAAGCAUCUAAGUGUAGGUGUUUUUAUUUUUCCCCAUACAUUUGAUACUUUGCAGCUUUUCUGGUUGGCAGAAUGUGCCUGAAGUAUUCAAACUUCCGAAAGAACUCAACAAUUUGGUAACCUUAUUUUUGACUAGAAAUACUGGACUAGAAUCAAGGGGAUGCCAAGUCCUGGCUUCAUGCAGAAUUUCCAGUGAAUUCUGGAUGUGCAGUUUGCUAGA